AUUGAACGCUGGCGGCAUGCCUUACACAUGCAAGUCGAACGGCAGCACGGGAGCAAUCCUGGUGGCGAGUGGCGAACGGGUGAGUAAAGUAUCGGAACGUGCCCAGUCGUGGGGGAUAACGUAGCGAAAGUUACGCUAAUACCGCAAACGAUCUAUGGAUGAAAGCGGGGGCUCGCAAGACCUCGCGCGAUUGGAGCGGCCGAUAUCCGAUUAGGUAGUUGGUGGGGUAAAGGCUCACCAAGCCGACGAUCUGUAGCUGGUCUGAGAGGACGACCAGCCACACUGGGACUGAGACACGGCCCAGACUCCUACGGGAGGCAGCAGUGGGGAAUUUUGGACAAUGGGCGAAAGCCUGAUCCAGCCAUGCCGCGUGCAGGAUGAAGGCCUUCGGGUUGUAAACUGCUUUUGUACGGAACGAAAAGGUUUGGCCUAAUAAGCUGAGCUCAUGACGGUACCGUAAGAAUAAGCACCGGCUAACUACGUGCCAGCCGCCGCAGUAA
RNAcentral lists this ribosomal RNA (500 nucleotides) under uncultured bacterium. RNAcentral's name for it is "partial 16S ribosomal RNA". It matches the Rfam family "Bacterial small subunit ribosomal RNA", at positions 30 to 523 of the family's 1533-position model. The record is from RNAcentral.